Molecule: long non-coding RNA, 1804 nt
Organism: Poecilia reticulata (guppy)
Lineage: Eukaryota; Metazoa; Chordata; Actinopteri; Cyprinodontiformes; Poeciliidae
Source: RefSeq, a predicted model, not a curated record
UCACUGAAGGUUACAUUCAGCAACUACCGUGUGACCUUUGAAGAAUCUUUCAGGAAUCCUCUCUCUAAGUAACUUGAACCUAAACUGAAAAUUGGAUACUGGAGAAUAAGUCCAUGACAACAGGGUCGUGACAACAGGGUUGUGGCAUGACGGCCCCAUCACUUCUUCCUUGAGGUCUUCACAAACAGAAAAUGAAAUAAAAGCUCGCCAAGAGCUCCCCCUAGUGGCUCAACAAGGAGAAAGUAAAGAGUUUUGAUUCCACAUUGCGAAAACUUCAUCUGCUACAUAUUAGUCUCAUUUCAUUCUUAUUGUCAUUGCUUAGAAGGUAGAAAAAGUUCAAAUUAAGUCUCAGGUAAUUCAUUUAGGAUUUAAGUGUAAGAGAGAUACUUAAAAGUUAGGACAGAUGACUCGGUUAAACCACAUCACAUUGUUGAUCCCUGUUGAGUUUGUUUUAACAGUUGAGAUGAAGAAGAAAAAGACUAACAGCAGUAUCAAUUUGGACAGUGGUGUUUGUUACAUGGCCUGUGCCAAACAAGAACAAAGGAAUUUCCCAGAAAAGUAAAGACAUCGAAAACUUCCAAGUGUUUAAUUAUUUUUUAUUUUAUUAUUUCUGAACAGUGUAUCAACAUAAAAAAUAAAAAAUAAAACUCGGCAACAUGAAUGAAUAUAUUAAUGAGCACCCCCUUCUCUCCUCUACAGACAGUAGCCUUCCAAGUGUCUACUGCAGUAUGUACACAUCAUAACUCAGUUCUGAGCCGUGGAACCGAGGGAUCUUCCUUCAACAGGGAGGGGAAUACUGAUCAUUCACCUUUUAUGUUGAUUUUGCCAUACGAUAUAGUUGCGUUCAUUGUCUCUUGGCGAAACGAAACAUGCAGCAUUACCCUUUAAUAAUCUGCCGAAGACUGUUUGUUACUCGGCAGUAAACUGGUUUGGUCCAUCGCAAAUGAAUUGUCUUGCUUGAUAAAAAAGAAACAUUUUCCUGAACCUCUUACUACCUCGUUGAAGAAUCCUUUUAUUGAAAGUGACACCGUAGUGGAUUUCAAGUCAAGUGUGGCUGUAUAAAGUGAAAUAUAGCACGUAUCGCAACUAUUCACCCUCCGUUUUUCUUCAUGAUAAAUAAAACAAACACCGUCAAUCCUAGCACAAAACAGACAUUUGACACUAAACAGUGAGACACAUCACCUCACAACACAAAAGGAGAUCGUCCACUUCAUGAACAAUUGUCCCUUUCCUAGUCAGUCUUCAAGUCGCGUCACUAUUUUUCCGGAGUUUUCUGGAAGCAGUUUUUGUUUCUGAUUUAGACAGAUUAGUGGGAAACUUUACCAGAUACUGACCAAGAGGUUCGAAUUUUCUAAUUUGAGAUUGUUUGACUGUGUGAUAUUGCUGGGAACUUGCACCUGAUUCGAAGCAAACACCCAAUGCAACCUCCAAUGUCAUCAAUUGCCUACACAAAGCACUCAUUGUGUCUGGUGACCUUCCACCUCUGUUCCAGAUUGUUGGGUGCUCCAUCAACUGCCUGGUAAAACUCGCUCUCCCUCCUCCUGAAUCCACCGCUCCUUACCAAUCACAUCAUCUACACACCAAUUUACGGCAUUUUUUUGUGGCUGACUUUAAAAAAAAAGGGCUCGCAAAUCUUAUUAUCCAUAAGAGAUAUCCGCGGACGUCCAUAGGAUUCUGAACUUUCUGUUUGUUGUUUACAUCAGUGGGUGCGAUUUCACAUAAAACGCAGCCAAUUUAAAUACAGUGAAUGUCUGCAAAAAAGAAAAAGCCAAUUUAUACAUUAAAAAAAAAAAAACACGAGCAG